Molecule: microRNA precursor, 59 nt
Filed under: Homo sapiens (human)
Lineage: Eukaryota; Metazoa; Chordata; Mammalia; Primates; Hominidae
Description: Hsa-Mir-430-P29c_pre stem-loop
Rfam family: mir-515 microRNA precursor family
Source: RNAcentral
CCUCUAGAUGGAAGCACUGUCUGUUGUCUAAGAAAAGAUCGUGCAUCCUUUUAGAGUGU